RNAcentral lists this unclassified non-coding RNA (445 nucleotides) under Hevea brasiliensis (rubber tree). Lineage: Eukaryota; Viridiplantae; Streptophyta; Magnoliopsida; Malpighiales; Euphorbiaceae. The record is from RNAcentral.
CGCCCAGAUAUCAACAUUUGAAUUGUCCUGCAUGCAAAGAGCUCCUUGGUUCGAAAAAUGUUCUUGGAGAAUCUAUGAGUGAGAAUUACAGUCUCCUGAAACCUGGAAUUUGCAAAUCCGCGAGGAAAAUCAAUCCCAGCAUUGAUAAUUUCCUCGUCGACAACUUUAGAUUGCUGAAAGAGCUGUUGAAGAGUGAACUUGCCACUUCUACUAUCACCUUCCUCUGCUUUCUUGAUCUGCUGUUGGGCUGUCCAUACUGGAGUACUUUCUGGCUGCUGCUGCUGAAUGGCUUCAAUGGAUUCGAUAGCGAAUUCAACAACAUUAACAUGAAGAGGAAGCUGCAUCCCCAUUGUCCUCAAAUGAACUCCAAGCUGAUCCACCGUUCCAUGAUGUAAAAUCGACCCAUUAGCCAUCAAAAGUAUUGAAUUGAACAGCUUCACAAUGC